GAUGAGAACGUAGCGAAAUGCGAUACGUAAUGUGAAUUGCAGAAUUCAGUGAAUCAUCGAGUCUUUGAACGCACAUUGCGCCCCCUGGUAUUCCGGGGGGCAUGCCUGUCCGAGCGUCAUUGCUGCCCUCAAGCCCGGCUUGUGUGUUGGGUCUCGUCCCCCUUCCCGGGGGGACGGGCCCGAAAGGCAGCGGCGGCACCGCGUCCGGUCCUCGAGCGUAUGGGGCUUUGUCACCCGCUCUGUAGGCCCGGCCGGCGCUUGCCGAUCAACCAAAACUUUUUUCCAGGUUGACCUCGGAUCAGGUAGGGAUACCCGCUGAACUUAAGCAUAUCAAUAAGCGGAGGA
This 345-nucleotide unclassified non-coding RNA is filed under the name soil metagenome. RNAcentral describes it as "partial contains 5.8S ribosomal RNA, internal transcribed spacer 2, and large subunit ribosomal RNA". The stretch from base 5 to 119 matches the Rfam family "5.8S ribosomal RNA", at positions 40 to 154 of the family's 154-position model. The record is from RNAcentral.